This 253-nucleotide ribosomal RNA is filed under the name uncultured bacterium. Its description in RNAcentral is "partial 16S ribosomal RNA". It matches the Rfam family "Bacterial small subunit ribosomal RNA", at positions 524 to 776 of the family's 1533-position model. The record is from RNAcentral.
UACGUAGGCAGCAAGCGUUGUUCGGAGUUACUGGGCGUAAAGGGCGCGUAGGCGGCUCGGCACGUCCGUUGUGAAAUCGCCCGGCUCAACUGGGCGGGGUCAGCGGAUACGGUCGAGCUUGAGCAAGCUAGGGGGUAAUGGAAUUCCCGGUGUAGUGGUGGAAUGCGUAGAUAUCGGGAGGAACACCAGUGGCGAAGGCGGCACUCUGGGCCGGUACUGACGCUGAGGAGCGAAAGCGUGGGGAGCGAACAGG